UUGCUCAUGAUGAGCUCAUCCAUCGUCCCCUCUUCAUGGAAGCACAUGUCGCCCGGCUCUUGUGAUCCUCCUCUUCCUCUUCCUCGUCUCUAAUUCCAAUCCGGUCUCCAUUUCGGAUCCAAAGCGGACAACAUGAUUGCCACAGUAAGUGAUCCCCAUCUCGAAUCUCAUAUCUCCUCUCCCUUUUCGUCCUCCUCGCAGCAAUCGAGUGAUCUCUGGACGCAGCGGUUUAUCGAUCUCUUCCUGGCCUUGUCGGUCUCUUUUCGGGGUGGAUUCGAUGGUUUCUUUUCUUGCUGAGGUUACAAAGCCGGAAUCGGUCGAUAAACCUCUGCAUCCGGACUUCCGCCGACAACCAUUCCUCCGUCCUCCCCCCAACCCAAAACACUCCCCCCCCAACCCCACCUUCUUCCUCCACUUGUUUUCGUCAUCUUAUAUAAUGAUUGGGCAAUGAAGAGGUGGUAGCUGUUAGGGCUAAUUGAUACGGCCGAUUCGAUGCCGAUUUCGAUCCCUUUUUUUUACUCAGAUUAUUGUCGGCAUUCUGCAGAAUUUCAAUCAACGAAUAAUGGUGCCAUCAGCAUUUAGAUCGAUUCAAAAUGGGUGACGUCUUGAGUUGUGAUGAUGGACAGAGAAAACAGUAAAUAUGUUUGAUUUAAUGUCUCUCAGUUCUUUCUUAUGCCUUCAAUUUUUCAUUGUUCUUUUGGAUUCGUUUAUCAUUUCAUUAUCUUCACCAUUUGAUCUAUCCAUAUUUUGGAUUAUUCACUGAAUAGGACGUAAAUGUUUUGUAUUAAACAGACAGCAGAGGACUACUAGAAAUCUUUAUUUACAGAAACUACCAUUAUUGGUUAAUUCGUCAAGGAUGAGAGGUCGGAAUAUACUCUGAGAUGGCUUAAACUUUGCUUUGGGAGGACUAAAUGGGGAAAAUAAGCUCAACUGGUCAAAUUAAUGUGACAGGAUGGCACAGUUUUUAUGAAGAUGAUUGAGAUAUAUUCCAUAUUUUGAUGUUUAAACAGUUAGCCUCAGAAAUAUUUUUCAUUUAAUUUAUUCCUUCUACCAAGAUUUGUUGUUCUCCAUGGAUGUGAACCUCCCUAUAUUUGUUAUGUUUGCAAUGCUUGAAGGUGAAUCUGUAUAAAGAAUUUAAACAUAAAUAUUUUUCUAACAUUUAGCCACACGAAUAUUUUUCAUUUAAUUAAUUCCUUUUACCCAGAUUCCUUGUUCUACAUGCAUGUGAACAUCUCUAUAUUUGUUAUGUUUGCAAUGCUUGAAGGUGAAUCUGUAUAAAGAAUUUAAACAUAAAUAUUCUUCUGACAUUUAGCCACAGGAAUAUUUUUCAUUUAAUUUAUUCCUUUUACCAAGAUUCCUUGUUCUACACGGAUGUGAAACCAUCUAUAUUUGUUAUGUUUGUAAUGCGUGAAGGUGAAUCUGUAUAAAGAAUUUAAACAUCAAUAUUUUUCUAGAAAAGAGCUAUAUGGUACAUGUGUUUUUUUUUUUACUGUGAGAGCAUGUGGUGUAUUUUGUUGUGUGAAUUAUACUUGCUGAAAUAUGGUGGUGGUCAUGAAUACUGAUCUUUGGAUUAUUUAAUUGCGUGCAUGACAUAGCUACCUGUUUAUAACAUGUGUUCUGUUGGAUGUGUUUCAAAUGAUUGACAAGGUUUUAUAUUUCAUUCUUAUCUGCAAAAACAUAAAUUGCAUACUUUGUGAAUUAGAAUACAAUGCAUAUGGAAAACAAAGCAGUCAAGUAAUCUGCAUGCUGAAUGUGUGCCUGACUCUGUUUUUUGGGUAGAAGGGUCUAAAUUCUUAAUGCAUUACGAUAGACAAGGCGAGUGAGAGAAGAGAAACUUGCCAGGAACCAUUUUGAGAGAUAUAACUACAUUUAUGUAUUUCCAACCUCAUUUUCCUUGAUGUAUAAAUAGCCCUGAUAUCGUGGAUACCUUGUGUAAAAAUGAUGAUAUUUAAUUAUCAUCUUUCUUGUUUUCUUUCCUAAUGACCUUACUACCUUCUCUACUUGUUGGAUAAUUAAUAAGACAUAGUAGCUUCCCAGGGCAUAGCUGACCAUGCAUAAAAACCAACAUACCUUUGUAUUUGUAUUCAAAUCAAUUGGCAGGAUAAUAGACUUGUCUAGUUGAUUGAAAUUAUGAUAGCAGUUUAUUUUCUCUUUUUAAGGUAAAAUGUUGUUGCUAUUGCUGUGUGUCAUCAAUUAAAUGCAAGAAUAUCUUCUUGCUUUUCUUUUCUCCUCCUGUAUACUUGUGUGAAUUUUGGUAACUGUCCUAUGGAGCACAAUCUUUUUGAGGCCUUCAUGCCAUGUUAUCUUUUGUAACAUUUCAAAAGAAGUGAGAGUGUGACCAAUUAAACAGAUCGUCCGGUUCUUUCAGAUUAUUAUUCAUGCUUUAUUUUGUUAAAUCUUGAGUACUUCCUAAUUGAGGACUUUUAUUAUGUCAUUCUCAAGUGCCUGAUUUAUGUUAUUUUCUUGUUUGUCUUAGUAACUAUGAUAAAAUAGUUUGCUUCCUCUAUUAGGUCAGACUCUAUUGUUAAUGUCAUAUAGUUUCAUGUAAAGAAUGGGUCGCCUAGUGGAUGAGACCUCGAUCAAUUUAGCUAGUGUUGGAUAUGUAUGUGAAAUAUAUUAUUGAAGUUGCUCAUAUCGGAGAACACAAAAGUUACUUCAUUAGUUUUACUGAAUUUGUUCCACUUAGUCCUUGAGAUGUGUGGUUUUUUUUUUCUUUUUUUGUGCUGCCUUCUUGCAACCUUAAUAUCAACAUUCUGCAUGUUUUAGUUGGUUAGUAAAUAAAGGGUCUGCAUGAUCUUGGAACCUUAAGGUGUUAAAGGCUGUAAGAAGAUCUUUUUCCAAUGUAUGAAAACAUAUAAAAAAAAUGAUGAACCAAUUAACUUGACUAUACAAACCCCAUUUUCUUGGCCAAAAUUUAUCUUUGCAACCAUUAUAAGUUUCAGUUAUGCUCAUUCAGCGCUUGAUUUCACUCAACUUCCUUCAAAAUGAUUUGAAGAGUAGACACACAGUGUUCUACCCCAUGCUCAGAGGCUAGUAGUAUUUAGGGACCUUUUUUGCUGAACCACUUCAAUUCUAGGCCAUGAUGAAAUUACUGUUUUAUCAGCAAAGAACACACUGUGAGUGCAAUCUGAUGCUCUUUCAAGUUCAAACUCUGGUUAUCGGAGGAUCUUGUUCUCAUUUAGCCUAUUUACUGUCAGUAAAGUAUUACACCUUUCAUCUUGAGUUCAAGGGCUCAAUGAAGCCAAGUUAUGGUUAAUGUUGCAGAACUUUAUACAGUGUCUCCUUUCACUGCAUAUGCACCACCUGCAUCAUAUUUUCUUCAUUGUUCGCCCGAAUUGGUGUACUGCAAUAGUUUAUAUGCACCAAAUUUGAUGUUAUGAACGUCUCUCCUCCAUAUAUAUUCCAUAAAUUUGUUGAGCUACCAAUGUAGAACAUCGUUCAUAGUUUCUUACAGCUUGUAGCUUCGUCUUCAAACAAUCAAAGCACCUUCGCUGACGUAUGAUGCAGCUUUCUUCAUGUAGAACAG
This 3526-nucleotide long non-coding RNA is filed under the name Musa acuminata (dwarf banana). RNAcentral's name for it is "long non-coding RNA (MACU_LNC001773)". The stretch from base 214 to 339 matches the Rfam family "MIR162_1 microRNA precursor family", at positions 1 to 92 of the family's 112-position model. The record is from RNAcentral. Lineage: Eukaryota; Viridiplantae; Streptophyta; Magnoliopsida; Zingiberales; Musaceae.